This 352-nucleotide unclassified non-coding RNA is filed under the name soil metagenome. RNAcentral's name for it is "partial contains 5.8S ribosomal RNA, internal transcribed spacer 2, and large subunit ribosomal RNA". The stretch from base 1 to 120 matches the Rfam family "5.8S ribosomal RNA", at positions 35 to 154 of the family's 154-position model. The record is from RNAcentral.
GAUGAAGAACGCAGCGAAAUGCGAUACGUAAUGUGAAUUGCAGAUUUCAGUGAAUCAUCGAAUCUUUGAACGCACAUUGCGCCCGCCAGUAUUCUGGCGGGCAUGCCUGUUCGAGCGUCAUUUCAACCCUCAGGCCCCCAGUGCCUGGUGUUGGGGAUCGGCCCAGCCUUCCUGUAAGGCCGCCGGCCCCGAAAUCUAGUGGCGGUCUCGCUGUAGUCCUCCUCUGCGUAGUAGCACAACCUCGCAGUUGGAACGCGGCGGUGGCCAUGCCGUUAAACACCCCACUUCUGAAAGUUGACCUCGGAUCAGGUAGGAAUACCCGCUGAACUUAAGCAUAUCAAUAAGCGGAGGA